This 407-nucleotide ribosomal RNA is filed under the name uncultured bacterium. Its description in RNAcentral is "partial 16S ribosomal RNA". It matches the Rfam family "Bacterial small subunit ribosomal RNA", at positions 29 to 526 of the family's 1533-position model. The record is from RNAcentral.
AUUGAACGCUGGCGGCAGGCCUAACACAUGCAAGUCGAGCGGAGCGGCGGACGGGGGCGUAAUGCCUAGGAAUCUGCCUGGGAGUGGGGGAUAACGUCCGGAAACGGGCGCUAAUACCGCAUACUAUCAGCUGAGCCUAGGUCGGAUUAGCUAGUAGGUGGGGUAACGGCUCACCUAGGCGACGAUCCCUAGCUGGUCUGAGAGGAUGACCAGCCACACUGGAACUGAGACACGGUCCAGACGCCUACGGGAGGCAGCAGUGGGGAAUAUUGCACAAUGGGCGCAAGCCUGAUGCAGCCAUGCCGCGUGUAUGAAGAAGGCCUUCGGGUUGUAAAGUACUUUCAGCGGGGAGGCGUUACCCGCAGAAGAAGCACCGGCUAACUCCGUGCCAGCCGCCGCGGUAAUUC